CUAGCUUGCUAGGUGGAAGGAGAGGCGAACGGGUGAGUAAUACAUAAGCAACCUGCCCACGAAGACUGGGAUAAUCCUUGGAAACGAGGACUAAUACCGGGAUAGGUUACGAAUUCGCAUGAAUUUGUAAUUAAAGGUUAGAAACACUGGUGGAUGGGCUUAUGGUGCAUUAGCUAGUUGGUGAGGUAACGGCCCACCAAGGCGAUGAUGCAUAGCCGGGCUGAGAGGCUGAACGGCCACAUUGGGACUGAGACACGGCCCAGACUCCUACGGGAGGCAGCAGUAGGGAAUUUUCGGCAAUGGGGGAAACCCUGACCGAGCAACGCCGCGUGAGUGAUGAAGGUCUUCGGAUUGUAAAGCUCUGUUGUAAGGGAAGAAUGAAUUGGAUAGAAUCCGAUUGUGACGGUACCUUACCAGAAAGCUACGGCUAACUACGUGCCAGCAGCCGCGGUAAUACGUAGGUAGCGAGCGUUAUCCGGAAUUAUUGGGCGUAAAGGGUGCGUAGGCGGCUUGUUAAGUUUAAGGUGAAAGAAUGGGGCUCAACCCCAUAAAGCCUUAGAUACUGGCAAGCUAGAGUACUGGAGAGGGUAGUGGAAUUCCAUGUGUAGCGGUAAAAUGCGUAGAUAUAUGGAGGAACACCGGUGGCGAAGGCGGCUACCUAGACAGAGACUGACGCUGAGGCACGAAAGCGUGGGGAGCAAAUAGGAUUAGAUACCCUAGUAGUCCACGCCGUAAACGAUGAAUGCUAGAUAUCGGGGCAACUUGGUGUCGAAACUAACGCGAUAAGCACUCCGCCUGUGGAGUAUGCACGCAAGUGUGAAACAUAAAGGAAUUGACGGGGGCCCGCACAAGCGGUGGAGUAUGUGGUUUAAUUCGACGCAACGCGAAGAACCUUACCAGGCCUUGACAUCCCUUGCAAAACUCUAGAGAUAGAGCAGAG
RNAcentral lists this ribosomal RNA (940 nucleotides) under uncultured bacterium. RNAcentral's name for it is "bacterial SSU rRNA". It matches the Rfam family "Bacterial small subunit ribosomal RNA", at positions 75 to 1016 of the family's 1533-position model. The record is from RNAcentral.